This 524-nucleotide ribosomal RNA is filed under the name Boophis elenae. RNAcentral's name for it is "partial 16S ribosomal RNA". The stretch from base 1 to 370 matches the Rfam family "Bacterial large subunit ribosomal RNA", at positions 761 to 1300 of the family's 2925-position model. Lineage: Eukaryota; Metazoa; Chordata; Amphibia; Anura; Mantellidae. The record is from RNAcentral.
UAGCCCCAGAGCCAACCCAUCUCUGUUGCAAUAGAGUGGGAUAAUUUUUAAGUAGAGGUGAUAAACCUAUCGAACUUAGAGAUAGCUGGUUUUUUAAGAAAAGAUUUUUAGUUCAGCCCUGAGUCUUCUAUUACACAAGAAUUAAACUAAACUCAGGAGUUAUUCAAAUAAGGCACAGCUUAUUUGAAACAGGAUACAACCUAGAAAAAAGGGUAAGACAAAUUUAAUCUCUGACAAGUGGGCCUGAAAGCAGCCACCUUUUAAAAAGCGUCAAAGCUUAACAUUAAUAAUUUUCUUAAUAUCUAAAUUAAUUUCUAACCCUUAUUUACUAUUAAAAAACUCCAUAAAAUUAUGGAAGUUAUUAUGCUAGAACAAGUAACAAGAAAAAGACUUUCUCCAAAAUGUAAGCUUAAGCCACAACAGACAAACUGAUGGCAAUUAACGUUUAUGAGUCACUUGUAGUAACACCAACAGGAAAACUCUACAUGAGUUCUAACGUCAACCUUACACCAGCACAUUUAUGG